GUGCUCACUUCAGCAGCACUUAUACUAAAAUUGGAAUGGUACAGAGAUUAGCAUGGCGUGUGCAAUGAUGACAUACAAAUUCAUGAUGCAUUUCAUAUUUUU
Suncus etruscus (white-toothed pygmy shrew) is the source of this 102-nucleotide small nuclear RNA. NCBI's taxonomy places the organism in Eukaryota, Metazoa, Chordata, Mammalia, Eulipotyphla, Soricidae. The record is from RefSeq and is a predicted model, not a curated record.